AGAAUCAACGCUGGCGGCGUGCCUAACACAUGCAAGUCGCACGAGAAAGUGGAGCAAUCCCUGAGUAAAGUGGCGCACGGGUGAGUAACACGUGAAUAAUCUACCUCCGAGUGGGGAAUAAACUGAGAGAAAUCUUAGCUAAUACCGCAUAACACUUACGAGUCAAAGCAGCAAUGCGCUUGGAGAGGAGUUCGCGGCCGAUUAGUUAGUUGGCGGGGUAAUGGCCCACCAAGACGAUGAUCGGUA
This 246-nucleotide ribosomal RNA is filed under the name uncultured bacterium. RNAcentral describes it as "partial small subunit ribosomal RNA". It matches the Rfam family "Bacterial small subunit ribosomal RNA", at positions 26 to 285 of the family's 1533-position model. The record is from RNAcentral.